AUUGAACGCUGGCGGCAGGCUUAACACAUGCAAGUCGAGCGGGGGAAGGUAGCUUGCUACCGGACCUAGCGGCGGACGGGUGAGUAAUGCUUAGGAAUCUGCCUAUUAGUGGGGGACAACAUCUCGAAAGGGAUGCUAAUACCGCAUACGUCCUACGGGAGAAAGCAGGGGAUCUUCGGACCUUGCGCUAAUAGAUGAGCCUAAGUCGGAUUAGCUAGUUGGUGGGGUAAAGGCCUACCAAGGCGACGAUCUGUAGCGGGUCUGAGAGGAUGAUCCGCCACACUGGGACUGAGACACGGCCCAGACUCCGACGGGAGGCAGCAGUGGGGAAUAUUGGAAAAUGGGGGGAACCCUGAGCCAGCCAUGCCGCGUGUGUGAAGAAGGCCUUAUGGUUGUAAAGCACUUUAAGCGAGGAGGAGGCUACUUUAGUUAAUACCUAUAGAUAGUGGACGUUACUCGCAGAAUAAGCACCGGCUAACUCUGUGCCAGCCGCCGCGGUAA
This 501-nucleotide ribosomal RNA is filed under the name uncultured bacterium. RNAcentral describes it as "partial 16S ribosomal RNA". It matches the Rfam family "Bacterial small subunit ribosomal RNA", at positions 30 to 523 of the family's 1533-position model. The record is from RNAcentral.